RNAcentral lists this ribosomal RNA (301 nucleotides) under uncultured bacterium. Its description in RNAcentral is "partial 16S ribosomal RNA". It matches the Rfam family "Bacterial small subunit ribosomal RNA", at positions 509 to 809 of the family's 1533-position model. The record is from RNAcentral.
CAGUAGCCACGGUAAUACGUAGGGUGCAAGCGUUAAUCGGAAUUACUGGGCGUAAAGCGUGCGCAGGCGGUUAUAUAAGACAGAUGUGAAAUCCCCGGGCUCAACUUGGGAACUGCAUUUGUGACUGUAUAGCUAGAGUACGGCAGAGGGGGAUGGAAUUCCGCGUGUAGCAGUGAAAUGCGUAGAUAUGCGGAGGAACACCGAUGGCGAAGGCAAUCCCCUGGGCCUGUACUGACGCUCAUGCACGAAAGCGUGGGGAGCAAACAGGAUUAGAUACCCCUGUAGUCCCUGUCUCUUAUAA